This 1146-nucleotide ribosomal RNA is filed under the name Leuconostoc carnosum. RNAcentral describes it as "bacterial SSU rRNA". It matches the Rfam family "Bacterial small subunit ribosomal RNA", at positions 316 to 1454 of the family's 1533-position model. Lineage: Bacteria; Bacillati; Bacillota; Bacilli; Lactobacillales; Lactobacillaceae. The record is from RNAcentral.
GGACUGAGACCCGGCCCAAACUCCUACGGGAGGCUGCAGUAGGGAAUCUUCCACAAUGGGCGAAAGCCUGAUGGAGCAACGCCGCGUGUGUGAUGAAGGCUUUCGGGUCGUAAAGCACUGUUGUAUGGGAAGAAAAGUUAAGGUAGGGAAUGACCUUAGCCUGACGGUACCAUACCAGAAAGGGACGGCUAAAUACGUGCCAGCAGCCGCGGUAAUACGUAUGUCCCGAGCGUUAUCCGGAUUUAUUGGGCGUAAAGCGAGCGCAGACGGUUGGUUAAGUCUGAUGUGAAAGCCCGGAGCUCAACUCCGGAAAGGCAUUGGAAACUGGUUAACUUGAGUGCAGUAGAGGUAAGUGGAACUCCAUGUGUAGCGGUGGAAUGCGUAGAUAUAUGGAAGAACACCAGCGGCGAAGGCGGCUUACUGGACUGUAACUGACGUUGAGGCUCGAAAGUGUGGGUAGCAAACAGGAUUAGAUACCCUGGUAGUCCACACCGUAAACGAUGAACACUAGGUGUUAGGAGGUUUCCGCCUCUUAGUGCCGAAGCUAACGCAUUAAGUGUUCCGCCUGGGGAGUACGACCGCAAGGUUGAAACUCAAAGGAAUUGACGGGGACCCGCACAAGCGGUGGAGCAUGUGGUUUAAUUCGAAGCAACGCGAAGAACCUUACCAGGUCUUGACAUCCUUUGAAGCUUUUAGAAAUAGAAGUGUUCUCUUCGGAGACAAAGUGACAGGUGGUGCAUGGUCGUCGUCAGCUCGUGUCGUGAGAUGUUGGGUUAAGUCCCGCAACGAGCGCAACCCUUAUUGUUAGUUGCCAGCAUUCAGAUGGGCACUCUAGCGAGACUGCCGGUGACAAACCGGAGGAAGGCGGGGACGACGUCAGAUCAUCAUGCCCCUUAUGACCUGGGCUACACACGUGCUACAAUGGCGUAUACAACGAGUUGCCAACCUGCGAAGGUGAGCUAAUCUCUUAAAGUACGUCUCAGUUCGGACUGCAGUCUGCAACUCGACUGCACGAAGUCGGAAUCGCUAGUAAUCGCGGAUCAGCACGCCGCGGUGAAUACGUUCCCGGGUCUUGUACACACCGCCCGUCACACCAUGGAAGUUUGUAAUGCCCAAAGCCGGUGGCCUAACCGUAAGGAGGGAACC